GGCUGUAGUUCAAUGGUAGAGCAUCUGCUUUGUAUGCAGAAGGUCACAGGUUCAAUCCCCACAAUCUCCU
This is a non-coding RNA of Podarcis lilfordi (Lilford's wall lizard), 70 nucleotides long. The record is from the annotation of a GenBank genome assembly. Lineage: Eukaryota; Metazoa; Chordata; Lepidosauria; Squamata; Lacertidae.